Molecule: long non-coding RNA, 1958 nt
Organism: Sinocyclocheilus anshuiensis
Lineage: Eukaryota; Metazoa; Chordata; Actinopteri; Cypriniformes; Cyprinidae
Source: Ensembl
CAGAGGUGGACGCGACGCUUGCAGUUUGUAAACAACGGUUUUGAUUGGUCAAAUGAAUGCCGACGUCAUCCACAACACUGGCAGACGCGUCGCGUACUUGCUUUUCGCUGAUUAUGAGAGCCAUGUACUGUAGUUUUUCGUUGCGUCGCUGUUUGCAACAAAUGCGGUAUUAAAUCUAAUAAUACAAAAAGAAUACUUUACGGGUGUAAGUUGUUUUUGCGUGUUAUAUUUUUCUGAAAUGUCUAUUUGAUCGUUAUUUUAUAUUAUCAGCUACUCAGCUAGUGUGUCAGCGCUUGUAGGGUUGUGGAAAUUGGCAUAUUUCACAACGAUGGCGUGAAAAUGUUUCAUCUGAAAAAUGGGCAUAUCAAAAAGCAGAAUGAAAAAAGUCGCACCUGUGUCCGUGACAGAGGAAACCGUCUGUACUAGCAGCGGCAUUCACCGGGAUGAAAGUCAGUUGUUUGGUCCCUCAAACACCAAAGCUUCAGAUCUGCGUGUGUCAAUCAGAAGGAGAGCCCAGGCAGACUGUAACAGUGAGGGGCAGGACUCUGAGUUUUCAGCCGACGAUCUCGCUGAGGAAGCGGACAGAAUCCUCGCUGAGUGUGCCAACACUGAUAUAUCACUGAGCAGGACUUCUUAUAAGAUGCCAAUGUUUGGAUCGAAGUCUUUAGGGCUUUACUACUACGCCAAAGGCCAAGACUGCAACAACGUUUACAGUGGCAGCACACGUGACAACAAUGAAAUUAACACAGUGAACAUAACAACUUCCAUUCGUGAAAAGGUCAGGCCUCCACAGGACCUGCUAAACUGUGCCAACAUGGAGAGCACAGCAACAGCUUCAAGUUCUGGAAUUGGUAGUGGUUCAUCUGUGGCCUUGCCUAUCAUGUAUGAUGCUUCAGAAGAGGACCUCAUGAACACAAUCGAGAGGGAGUUUGGAUCACAACCACAAUGAUCUUCUGAGACAACAAAGAAAAAGAGAAAAUAUGUAUGAGAAGGAUUAUUGAUAAAUCACCAAAAAGUAUUAUGGAUCAUUUUUAUAUUAACCACUGAUGUUUUGGCAUGAACUUUUUGAUUUUAAGACACAUAUACAGGCCUGCCUAAAGUGAUUUCAUUUACAGCUGAGCCCAUGCUAUCAGGAAGGCUGCUAUAGAAGCCUGUAAUUCUUUGAGAGAUUGUAUAUGCCUUAUGGUUCAGGAUGGAGUUUAUUCAGUUUAUUAAGUCAUUAGGAAUAAAAAAGGAAAGGAAUAAAAAAUAUACUUUGCUUUUGACAUUUUUUAAAGAAUAAUAUUCUGUAAAGCAGCUUGCCUGAGAGAAAAACAUAUGGAGUGGAUACUUUAGUUCCAUUUCCUGACCACAUUUCCAAAAUCCUCCACCCGUCUAAGACAGGAAUGCACAUCAGCAGUUUUAGUGGCUCCAUGGAGGCCCCCUAGCUACCCUAAACUACCCUGAUGUAUGUUCACCAGAUUGAAUAGCCUCCAAAAUGCUGAAUACAAUGUAUUUUAAGGCACACACUGAAAAUCAUGCAUAUACUGAUAAUGCAUUUUACCUUUGGAAAUAAUCUGGCGAUGUGUAGCUUGCAUUAAAAUAAUUUGGUUCAUUUUAGAUAGACCCUAUAAGUAGCAAUAACAACAACAUAAUAACUCAAUUUAAUUCAUGUCUGUUAAAAAACAGUUAGUUUUGUCAACACCGAAAGCUGUCUAUAUUGUAUUUUCUUUCUUUCUGACAAUUUAGUAGGAUGGAGACGAAAAUUGGCAUGAAGACAGUCUCCUUACUAGACUUGUCACUAUGUUUAAAAAUAUUUGAUGUUAUUCUUGUAUUGAGUGAUAAGCAAAUUACCCAACAGGACAAAGGUAAAUAUGGCCUAUCAUUUAAAUUAUAAAUAUGGCCUAUCAUUUAAUUUUAUAUGCCUUCAUACGCAUUCAAGAUAAAGAAAAAAGAAUAUUAAAAAGCUAUUAACCACA